GGGAAAAAACACAGACAUCCAUCUUUCAAUAUCAGAUGAAGCUGAUUCCACUAUUCCUAAAGAGAAUUCCCCAGAUUCAUUCCCCAGGAGAGAAAGAGAAGGAAUGCCACCUUCUUCUCCAUCAAGUAAAAACACAGUUCAUUUUGAUAAACCUAAUAGGAAAUUAUCUCCUGCAUUCCAUCAAGCACUACUCUCUUUUUGUCGAAUGUCAGCAGAUAGUCGUUUAGGAUAUGAGGUGUCUCGUAUUGCAGACAGUGAAAAAAGCGUUAUGUUAAUGCUGGGACGCUGCCUGCCACACAUUGUUCCCAAUGUGCUCUUGGCAAAGAGAGAGGAGUUGAUCCCCCUCAUAUUGUGUACAGCAUGUCUACAUCCUGAGCCUAAAGAGCGAGAUCAGCUUCUCCACAUACUUUUCAAUUUGAUCAAGAGGCCAGAUGAUGAGCAAAGGCAAAUGAUACUGACAGGUUGUGUGGCAUUUGCACGUCAUGUUGGACCAACACGUGUAGAAGCUGAGCUUUUACCACAGUGUUGGGAACAGGCAUCCAAUACAUUAAUGAA
This 555-nucleotide small RNA is filed under the name Pongo abelii (Sumatran orangutan). Its description in RNAcentral is "processed transcript". The record is from RNAcentral. Lineage: Eukaryota; Metazoa; Chordata; Mammalia; Primates; Hominidae.